Long non-coding RNA from Gallus gallus (chicken), 377 nucleotides. The record is from Ensembl. Lineage: Eukaryota; Metazoa; Chordata; Aves; Galliformes; Phasianidae.
CGGGAGCCAGUGCGGGUUCCCGGGAGCAGCGUCUGCCGGGCCGCGAGUGUGGCGGACGGCAGCAGCAUCAGCAACACUAACAGCAUCAGCAGCAACAGCAGCAGCAGAAAAAGAGCGUUAAUCUGCCCCAUCUCGGGGCCCGAGGAUCGGAGCGGAGGAGACAUUCACUGCAAGCACGUAGGGGAAUAAGGGUCUCGCUUUAUUGAAUCAUCAAAUCCCAGGAACGAAGCUCUUAAUUAAUUAUGGGUGCUAAAAAUUCAGGCCAGCUGCUACUUUUUACUCGGCUCUGACAGAGAAAGACAAAGUCUGCGGCGAGCUCCUCCGAGGCGCUCCGCAUAAAUCAGCGCUCCCGGCCCGCGGGGACAGAUGGCGCCUCG